Molecule: long non-coding RNA, 207 nt
Filed under: Populus tremula
Lineage: Eukaryota; Viridiplantae; Streptophyta; Magnoliopsida; Malpighiales; Salicaceae
Description: long non-coding RNA (PTRE_LNC002344)
Source: RNAcentral
UCUGUCUCGCACGCACAAACAAAACAAUGUUGUUCACUUUCUAUCUAUGUUGUUCUUCCAUUUUUUUUCAAUAAAUCCUACGUAAAACCCAAAACAAAACCCGGAUCAAGAAAUAUAAAAACAAACAUAAGCUAAUACAAAAGGGGUUGGGCUGUAUAAGAAAGAGUGGAACUUUACUUGUAAGAUGAGAGAAGAACAAAGAGCGAG